UUCACAGGAGUAUUCUACUCAAUUCACUGCCAUGUCAGCUAAACUUCUGAGUAUCAGGAUGGCACUUAACCCAUUCUAUUUCACUAGUGACUACUUACCUCGAACUAAUUAGAGAAAAGAACCAAGAACCAGUCUAUCUGGAAUUGAAGAUAAAGGCAUUUCUCCGCUGUGGAAAAAACUUAAAUAUAGCCAAAAAUCACAUAAUACAUUAUGAGCCUCUUCAAGUUUGUAAUUAACAAUUUUAAAAUUAAUAAAUAAAUAUUACUCCUUGUUUUUAUAGAACAAUUAAAUCUGUUCAUGAAUUCAUAAAUUCUUUUGGGAUUAUUCAGGUUAUUGCAAACAGUCCAUAAAUAAACUUCCAAACCCU
Non-coding RNA from Taeniopygia guttata (zebra finch), 367 nucleotides. Lineage: Eukaryota; Metazoa; Chordata; Aves; Passeriformes; Estrildidae. The record is from RefSeq and is a predicted model, not a curated record.